This 5664-nucleotide long non-coding RNA is filed under the name Homo sapiens (human). RNAcentral's name for it is "HSALNT0083847". Lineage: Eukaryota; Metazoa; Chordata; Mammalia; Primates; Hominidae. The record is from RNAcentral.
CUGGACUGAGAUUGCCACAGCUGCUGAGCGUGAUGAUGACUGAGAAGCCAUCUAGGUCAAGCACCAGGGUCUGGUUGCUGACUCUCUGCCAGUGUGCUCCAGUUCAGACCCAAGCAAUUCACCUUGCAUUUGCCUGAGUGAAGAAAACAGGAUUUCUAGAAAGUUAACGGCAGCAGAGCACGCAUACCUAAGGGCAGUAGUUGGCCUACUUUAUUCCAUUUCAAUGUGUCUAAGCUUUUUGUUACACCAUAUAAAUAUGGAACUGAAGCUUCUUGUGUUUAAAUUACCCAAUACCUCUUUUCUUCUUGUUUUUUCAGACAUAAGGUCUUUCUUUACUGCUGUCUUUGGGUUCCGUCUCAAAUCAUCUCCUGUUGUAAUUGCACAACUCAUACAAUGGAAAGCUUCUAUAGAACUGCCAGGAAUGUCUGUACAUCUUUUCAAGUGUAAAUUAAAAAAAAAAAACUUGAUUCAAGGCUAUUACAGUUGCGUAAGUAUCCAAUCUCAUUCACCUUCUAUAAAAGAGUCAGAUAAAGUUGUUAAAUGAGCUCAACAGAGCAGGAUGAUCCAAAAUGAAAAAAAAAAAAUCAGAGCUUUUUCUGAGUGCUCAAUAGAAAGGCUAGCCAGACAGCUUGAAGGAAAGGGGCAAAGAGGGCUUGUGUUCUUCUGCCUAAUUGCAGGCUGCAUCCUGUGUCGGCACCCCCAUGGGACUGCAGAGAACGGGAAAUAGAAAUGCACAUCUCUGCACCAACAUCGGGGAAAUGAUCAUUCCUGGGAGAUGAAAAUCUGCACAUGGCACCGUAAGCCUAACAUCUGUGUCUGGAGGCUGCAAUCGCCUGAGUCUAGCCAGGAGAAAAUGCAGAAACUCUGCUUGGUCUUUUCUCCAUUGACUGUGACAACCAAAAUAAGUGACUGAGACGUAAGUCUCAAUUAUCGAGGUUUAUGAAGACACCUGCUUUAGGGUGCGUCUGGGAAAAACAAGAGCUACAGACACAUCUGUGGCUGUUUCUCUGAAGAGGUUUUCAGGAGAGUUAGUAUUUAUUUGUACAUUUCCUUAAACGGGGGAAAGGAAUGUAAGAAGAGAGGCAGGUAGGCAGUAAAACACUCCUCUGAGACUUUAGUUACUGCCCAGUGAAUUUUACAUAAGGUGAAUGUCUGAAGAGAAAAAGGGGAUAAAGAAAGAGGUGAUUAUGCAGAUGUCUCUGGGUAGGUGGAGGAAUGACUGAUCACAUCCUGUCUUUUCUCUGCACCUGGAAAAAUAAGCUUGUAAUCAACAGUAUCAGUGUGGAAUCAACAGACUUUACUCUUAUGAUCUGGACUUAGAUUAUAGGCCUAAAGUUACACUUGGUAUGCCCUGUUUAUGGGAGGCCAGCAAAGCAUUUACUUAUGAAUGAUUGGUGGGGCAGCCCUUCCAGAUGCCCGAGGCCUUUUCCUUUCCAUGGGGAUUUGGCUGAAGCAUGAUGUUAGUAACAGCCAUGCAUUUGGAAGAAAGGGUUGCAUGACUCAGCCUCCGGGCUCAAGCUUCCCUUUUGAAGUUUGGGAGUCUUGAAGAUUUUUUAUUUUCCUUUACAACUGCAAAGCAACAAGGGGCCUGCUGCCUGGCUAUGGAGACCCAGCCUUGGGGAGGCAGUGCUGCAUGGAGGACCGGCAAUGCCAUCUUCCUGCCUGGUGUGUGGACUUUCUUGAGGAAACAUCCAUGGUGCUGAAGGCUAGGGCACCCUCCCUGAGCUCCUGUAGAGACCUCCCUGGGCUCCCAAACUGGCCUUCACUUUUGCUUCCCACGCCCAGGCAACAGAAGCAGAGCAAGUCUCUCUUGUCACCUCAGGGUUAACUUUGGACACCUUUCAUUUCACCCCACAAAGGCCCUUGCUGUGCCUUUGCUUCCUCAGUGCCUUCUGCCUAUGACAGCUGUAGGCAUCAGUGUAAACUGGAUUGUGCACUAGGCACAAAUGGACACAAGUUAUUUCUGGAUGUGGAUGAUGAAAUACCAUGGUCCUGCUCCCUGCUCAGAACGUUCAGAUGAAACCAACGCACACUGGACCACCGUGCCUGCAGCCCAAGUUCUGAGUACAGUUUGGUGAAGUCUUGACCAAUAUAUACACCUGAGCAACCAUCAUCACAAUCAAGACAAGUGCAUCCAUCACUGCUGAGUGUCCGCACUCCCCUCGGCACUCUCCCUCCUACCUCCCUGUGCAGCCCCAGCCCCAUGUCUGAGCAAUCCCUGAUCUGCUUCCUGCUGCUCUGUCACUGGAGUCUAGUUUGCAUUGUCUACAAUUUUAUGUAAAUGGAACCAUAUAGUAUUGUGCUUCUUUUGCCUAUGUUCUUUCACACAGUAUAAUUAUUUCAAGAUUAUUGCAAGUUGUGGCAUGCAUUACUAGGUCAUUCUUCUUUAUGGCUGACUAGUGUUUUAUUGCAUGAAUACACCUGUUUAUUUGUCCCUUCUCCUGUUGGCGGGCAUUUGAGUUAUUUCCAAGUUUUGUUCAUUACAAAUGAGGCUAGCAUUAAUAAUAGUGCAUUAAUCUUUAUAUGCUUUCAGCUCUCGUGGGUAAAUAUUAGGAGUGGAAGGGCUGAAUCACAUGGAAGUUGUAUAAACCUUUCAAGAAACUUCCACAUUUGUUUCCAAAGGGCUUGCGCCUUUUUAUAUUUCUACUGUUGCCAGUAGGCCAGUUCAGAUUCUUUUUUUUAAUUUAAUUUAAGUUCCAGGAUACAUGUGCAGGACGUGCAGGUUUGUUACAUAGGAAAAUGUGUGCCACGGUGGUUUGCUGCACCUGUCAACCCAUCACCUAGGUAUUAAGCCCAGCAUGCAUUAGCUAUGUAUCCUAAUGCUCUUCCUCCCCCUGCACCCUCAACAAGCCCCAGUGUAUGUUGUUCCCCUCCCUGUGUCCAUGUGUUCUCAUUGUUGAACUCCCACUUACAUGUGAGUUACAUGGGGUAUUUGAUUUUCUGUUCCUGUGUUAGUUUGCUGAGGGUAAUGGCUUCCAGAUUCAUUCAUGUCCCUGCAGAGGCCAUGAUCUCAUUCCUUUUUAUUGCUACAUAAUAUUCCAUGGUGUAUAUGUACCACAUUUUCUUUAUACAGUCUAUCAUUGAUGGGCAUUUGGGUUGAUUCCAUGUCUUUGCUAUUGUGAAUAGUGCUUCAAUGAACAUACGAGUGCAUAUAUCUUUAUAAUAGAAUGAUUUAUAUUUCUUUGGGUAUAUACUCAGUAACAGAAUUGCUGGGCCGAAUGGUAUUUCUGCCUCUAGGUCUCUGAGAAAUCACCACACUGUCUUCUACAAUGGCUGAACUAAUUCACAUUCCCACCAACAGUGUAAAAGCGUUCCUAUUUCUCCACAGCCCCUCCAACAUCUGUUGUUUCUUGACUUUUUAAUAAUAGCCAUUCUGAAUGGUGUGAGAUGUUGUUUUGCUUUGUAUUUCUCUAAGGAUCAGUGAUGUUGAGCUUUUUUUUCAUAUGUUUGUUGGCUGGAUGUACAUCUUCUUUUGAGAAGUGUCUGUUCAUGUCCUCUGCCAAAUUUUAAUAGGGUUAUUUGUUUAUUUCUUGUAAAUCUGUUUAAGUUCCUUGUAGAUUCUGGAUAUUAGACCUUUGUCAGAUGGAUAGAUUGCAAAAAUCUUCUCCCAUUCUGUAGGUUGCCUGUUCACUCCGAUGACAGUUUCUUUUGCUGUGCAGAAGCUCUUUAGUUUAAUUAGAUCCCAUUUGUCAAUUUUGGCUUUUGUUGCAAUUGCUUUUGGUGUUUUUGUCAUGAAAUCUUUGCCCGUGCCUAUGUCCUGAAUGGUAUUUUCUAGAUUUUCUUCUAGGGUUUUUAUAGUUUUGGAUUUUACAUUUAAGUCUUUAAUCCAUUUUGAGUUAAUUUUUGCAUAAGGUGUAAAGAAGGGGUCCAGUUUCAAUUUUCGGCAUAUGGCUAACUUGUUUUCCCAGUGACUUUGCCACACAAAAUAAUUUUAGAGCAAGUCCAAAGUAAGAGUAAGCCAAUAAAUUUAUUACAAAGCAAAUGUACAUGCUGAGAGACAGAGCAGGCUGCUUAAGGUGAGAGACAGCAGCUAGUGCCUUAAGAGGAAUUCUUUUUAUGGGAGCUGUUCAUAUAUAUUCAAAAAAUUCCUGUGAGGUACAAAGUGUGCAAAGUAUUCAAAGGUAGACGUGAGGUUGGUGCAUGUGCUCAGUAACUACAAACUCUAAGAUGCAUCACACGUAUCAUUAGCAUUGAAAAUCCCUACCUAUGGGUGUGCUUUUUACUGCUAAGAUGAGGAAAAGUUUACUAUAAGCUAAACCUUGAGCCUAGCUGCACAUGUGGGACCCAGAGAAGUCCCUGCCCCCACCCUCCUCCCAGGUAGGAAUUUGUAGCAAAAAGUUCCUUGAGCUUUUUGUGCUGAUUGGCUAGAGAGUGGGGAAGCUAAAUCAGAAAUAAGGGAUUUUUGUUCUCUUUCUUGGGCCCUUAUUGGAUAUCAGGAAUGUGCAACCAUCUGGCAGUUGACUGGUGUCCUGUAGGCUGCUUACCUGGUGUCGUGUAGGGCUGCUUACCUGGUGUCCUUCAGGGCUGCAUACCUGGUGUCCUGCAGGGCUGUGUACCUGGUGUCCUGCAGGGCUGUGUACUUAGUGUCUCACAGGGCUGCUUACCUGGUGUCCUGCAGGGCUGCUUACAUUGCAAAACAGUUAGAUGCUGACACACCAUGAGGGUGCAAGUGCAAGGAGCCAGCUGCAUGUGAAAGGGGCCCAAGGGGCUUCAUGCAAGGGGACAAGUCAGUAUGGCCUCCCAACCUCACUCAUCCUGCCUCACUAACAGCAGUGAGAAAGAGUUCCAGUUGUUCCAUAUCCUCACAUGCACUUGGUGUGGCCAGUCUUUUUAACUUCUAGCCAUUCUAAUAUAAGUAAAAAUGGUAUCUCAUUGUGAUUUUAAUUUGCAUUGUCUUAAUGACUAAUGAUGUUGAACAAUUUUUUGUGUGUUUAUUUACCUACAUAUAUAAUUUUUAUGAAAGUGUCUGUUAAAUAUCUGAAGAAGAAAAUAUCUCCCAACUUACUGUAUGAGGCCAAUAUUACCCAGAUAACCAAGUAAUGUUCAUUUCCAGGAAUGCAAACCUUGUUUGUCAUCAAUCAUGUUAAGCAACUAGCAAAGAAAGAAUACAUGAUAAUCCCAACAGAUAUAGAAAACCUAUUUGGCAAAAUCCAACAUGUAUUCCUGAUUUAAAAAAAAAUCUUUCAGUGAAUUAGGAAUAAAGGGAAGUUUCUUUACUUGAAAAAAUACAUCUAUGUAUGUAUGUAUAUGUGUAUAUAUGUAUGUAUGUUUGUAUGUAUGUAUCUAUCUAUCUAUCUACCUACAGAUAGCAUCAUGCCUAAUGGAAGAAAAAGGCUGAAUAUUUUCCCCCUAAACUGAGGAACAAGACUGGGGUGUCCUCUUCUGCCAUUUGUAUUCGACCUUGUACUGAAGGUUCUAAAACCGUGCAGUAAGGCAAGAAAAAUGAAUAAAAUGCAUUGUGAUUAGAAAGGGAAGAGUACAAUGUCUUUAUUCAUGAACGUCAUGUCUACGUAAAACAUUAGGUGGAAUGUACCAGAAAUCUUUAUUUAUUUUAUUUUAUUUAUUUAAUUUUUGAGACAGAAUCUCACUUGUCACCCAGGCUGGAGUGCAGUGGCACGAUAGCUACUUACUGCAACCUGUGCCUCCCAGGUUCAAGCGAUUCUC